This 424-nucleotide ribosomal RNA is filed under the name uncultured prokaryote. RNAcentral's name for it is "bacterial SSU rRNA". It matches the Rfam family "Bacterial small subunit ribosomal RNA", at positions 355 to 796 of the family's 1533-position model. The record is from RNAcentral.
UCGGGAAUCUUAGACAAUGGGGGAAACCCUGAUCUAGCCAUGCCGCGUGAGUGACGAAGGCCCUAGGGUCGUAAAGCUCUUUCGCCAGGGAAGAUAAUGACGGUACCUGGUAAAGAAGUCCCGGCUAACUCCGUGCCAGCAGCCGCGGUAAUACGGAGGGGGCUAGCGUUGUUCGGAAUUACUGGGCGUAAAGCGCGCGUAGGCGGACUUUCAAGUCAGGGGUGAAAUCCCGAGGCUCAACCUCGGAACUGCCUUUGAUACUGAUGGUCUUGAGUCCGAGAGAGGUGAGUGGAAUUCCUAGUGUAGAGGUGAAAUUCGUAGAUAUUAGGAAGAACACCAGUGGCGAAGGCGGCUCACUGGCUCGGUACUGACGCUGAGGCGCGAAAGCGUGGGGAGCAAACAGGAUUAGAUACCCCCGUAGUCC